This 253-nucleotide ribosomal RNA is filed under the name uncultured bacterium. RNAcentral's name for it is "partial 16S ribosomal RNA". It matches the Rfam family "Bacterial small subunit ribosomal RNA", at positions 524 to 776 of the family's 1533-position model. The record is from RNAcentral.
UACAGAGGUCCCAAGCGUUGUUCGGAUUCACUGGGCGUAAAGGGUGCGUAGGCGGCUCAUGAAGGCUGUGGUGAAAGUCCGGGGCUCAACCUCGGAUCGGCCGUGGCGACUCGUGGGCUGGAGCACUGUAGAGGCGGGUGGAAUUCCGGGUGUAGCGGUGGAAUGCGUAGAGAUCCGGAAGAACACCAGUGGCGAAGGCGGCCCGCUGAGCAGUGGCUGACGCUGAGGCGCGACAGCGUGGGGAGCAAACAGG